RNAcentral lists this ribosomal RNA (254 nucleotides) under uncultured bacterium. Its description in RNAcentral is "partial 16S ribosomal RNA". It matches the Rfam family "Bacterial small subunit ribosomal RNA", at positions 524 to 776 of the family's 1533-position model. The record is from RNAcentral.
UACGGGGGGGGCGAGCGUUGUUCGGAAUCACUGGGCGUAAAGGGCGCGUAGGCGGCCCGCACAAGUCUGCGGUGAAAACCCCCGGCUUAACCGGGGGCCGGCCGUGGAAACUGUCGGGCUGGAGGCUGGGAGAGGGCAGCGGAAUUCCCGGUGUAGCGGUGGAAUGCGUAGAGAUCGGGAGGAACACCGGCGGCGAAGGCGGCUGCCUGGACCAGUCCUGACGCUGAGGCGCGAAAGCUAGGGGAGCAAACAGG